GACGAACGCUGGCGGCGUGCUUAACACAUGCAAGUCGAACGGAAAGGCCCUGCUUUUGUGGGGUGCUCGAGUGGCGAACGGGUGAGUAACACGUGAGUAACCUGCCCUUGACUUUGGGAUAACUUCAGGAAACUGGGGCUAAUACCGGAUAGGAGCUCCUGCUGCAUGGUGGGGGUUGGAAAGUUUCGGCGGUUGGGGAUGGACUGGCGGCUUAUCAGCUUGUUGGUGGGGUAGUGGCUUACCAAGGCUUUGACGGGUAGCCGGCCUGGGAGGGUGACCGGCCACAUUGGGACUGAGAUACGGCCCAGACCCCUCCGGGAGGCAGCAGUGGGGAAUAUUGCACAAUGGGCGGAAGCCUGAUGCAGCAACGCCGCGUGCGGGAUGACGGCCUUCGGGUUGUAAACCGCUUUCGCCUGUGACGAAGCGUGAGUGACGGUAAUGGGUAAAGAAGCACCGGCUAACUACGUG
This 468-nucleotide ribosomal RNA is filed under the name uncultured bacterium. RNAcentral's name for it is "partial 16S ribosomal RNA". It matches the Rfam family "Bacterial small subunit ribosomal RNA", at positions 28 to 507 of the family's 1533-position model. The record is from RNAcentral.